AGCGAACGCUGGCGGCAGGCCUAACACAUGCAAGUCGAACGAACUCUUCGGAGUUAGUGGCGGACGGGUGAGUAACACGUGGGAACGUGCCUUUUGGUUCGGAAUAACUCAGGGAAACUUGUGCUAAUACCGAAUGUGCCCUUCGGGGGAAAGAUGUAUCGCCAUUAGAGCGGCCCGCGUCUGAUUAGCUAGUUGGUGAGGGAACGGCUCACCAAGGCGACGAUCAGUAGCUGGUCUGAGAGGAUGACCAGCCACACUGGGGCUGAGACACGGCCCAGACUCCUACGGGAGGCAGCAGUGGGGAAUCUUGCGCAAUGGGCGAAAGCCUGACGCAGCCAUGCCGCGUGAAUGAUGAAGGUCUUAGGAUUGUAAAAUUCUUUCACCGGGGACGAUAAUGACGGUACCCGGAGAAGAAGCCCCGGCUAACUUCGUG
Molecule: ribosomal RNA, 433 nt
Filed under: uncultured bacterium
Lineage: Bacteria
Description: partial 16S ribosomal RNA
Rfam family: Bacterial small subunit ribosomal RNA
Source: RNAcentral